GAUGAACGCUGGCGGCGUGCCUAAUACAUGCAAGUCGAGCGAACGGACGAGAAGCUUGCUUCUCUGAUGUUAGCGGCGGACGGGUGAGUAACACGUGGAUAACCUACCUAUAAGACUGGGAUAACUUCGGGAAACCGGAGCUAAUACCGGAUAAUAUUUUGAACCGCAUGGUUCAAAAGUGAAAGACGGUCUUGCUGUCACUUAUAGAUGGAUCCGCGCUGCAUUAGCUAGUUGGUAAGGUAACGGCUUACCAAGGCAACGAUGCAUAGCCGACCUGAGAGGGUGAUCGGCCACACUGGAACUGAGACACGGUCCAGACUCCUACGGGAGGCAGCAGUAGGGAAUCUUCCGCAAUGGGCGAAAGCCUGACGGAGCAACGCCGCGUGAGUGAUGAAGGUCUUCGGAUCGUAAAACUCUGUUAUUAGAGAAGAACAUAUGUGUAAGUAACUGUGCACAUCUUGACGGUACCUAAUCAGAAAGCCACGGCUAACUACGUGCCAGCAGCCGCGGUAAUACGUAGGUGGCAAGCGUUAUCCGGAAUUAUUGGGCGUAAAGCGCGCGUAGGCGGUUUUUUAAGUCUGAUGUGAAAGCCCACGGCUCAACCGUGGAGGGUCAUUGGAAACUGGAAAACUUGAGUGCAGAAGAGGAAAGUGGAAUUCCAUGUGUAGCGGUGAAAUGCGCAGAGAUAUGGAGGAACACCAGUGGCGAAGGCGACUUUCUGGUCUGUAACUGACGCUGAUGUGCGAAAGCGUGGGGAUCAAACAGGAUUAGAUACCCUGGUAGUCCACGCCGUAAACGAUGAGUGCUAAGUGUUAGGGGGUUUCCGCCCCUUAGUGCUGCAGCUAACGCAUUAAGCACUCCGCCUGGGGAGUACGACCGCAAGGUUGAAACUCAAAGGAAUUGACGGGGACCCGCACAAGCGGUGGAGCAUGUGGUUUAAUUCGAAGCAACGCGAAGAACCUUACCAAAUCUUGACAUCCUUUGACAACUCUAGAGAUAGAGCCUUCCCCUUCGGGGGACAAAGUGACAGGUGGUGCAUGGUUGUCGUCAGCUCGUGUCGUGAGAUGUUGGGUUAAGUCCCGCAACGAGCGCAACCCUUAAGCUUAGUUGCCAUCAUUAAGUUGGGCACUCUAAGUUGACUGCCGGUGACAAACCGGAGGAAGGUGGGGAUGACGUCAAAUCAUCAUGCCCCUUAUGAUUUGGGCUACACACGUGCUACAAUGGACAAUACAAAGGGCAGCGAAACCGCGAGGUCAAGCAAAUCCCAUAAAGUUGUUCUCAGUUCGGAUUGUAGUCUGCAACUCGACUACAUGAAGCUGGAAUCGCUAGUAAUCGUAGAUCAGCAUGCUACGGUGAAUACGUUCCCGGGUCU
Molecule: ribosomal RNA, 1372 nt
Filed under: uncultured bacterium
Lineage: Bacteria
Description: bacterial SSU rRNA
Rfam family: Bacterial small subunit ribosomal RNA
Source: RNAcentral